RNAcentral lists this ribosomal RNA (253 nucleotides) under uncultured bacterium. RNAcentral's name for it is "partial 16S ribosomal RNA". It matches the Rfam family "Bacterial small subunit ribosomal RNA", at positions 524 to 776 of the family's 1533-position model. The record is from RNAcentral.
GACGGAGGGUGCUAGCGUUGUUCGGAAUGACUGGGCGUAAAGGGCGCGUAGGCGGCCGGUUGCGUCGGAUGUGAAAGCCCGGGGCUCAACCCCGGAACGGCAUCCGAUACGGGCUGGCUUGAGACCGAGAGAGGUGAGUGGAAUACCCAGUGUAGAGGUGAAAUUCGUAGAUAUUGGGUGGAACACCGGUGGCGAAAGCGGCUCACUGGCUCGGUUUUGACGCUGAGGCGCGAAAGCUGGGGGAGCAAACGGG